RNAcentral lists this ribosomal RNA (253 nucleotides) under uncultured bacterium. RNAcentral's name for it is "partial 16S ribosomal RNA". It matches the Rfam family "Bacterial small subunit ribosomal RNA", at positions 524 to 776 of the family's 1533-position model. The record is from RNAcentral.
UACGUAGGGUGCAAGCGUUAAUCGGAAUUACUGGGCGUAAAGCGUGCGCAGGCGGUUGUGCAAGACAGAUGUGAAAUCCCCGGGCUCAACCUGGGAAUUGCAUUUGUGACUGCACGGCUAGAGUGUGUCAGAGGGGGGUAGAAUUCCAGGUGUAGCGGUGAAAUGCGUAGAUAUCUGGAGGAAUACCGGUGGCGAAGGCGGCAUCCUGGACCAUUACUGACGCUGAGGCGCGAAAGCUAGGGGAGCAAACAGG